AAUCAACGCUGGCGGCGUGCCUCAGACAUGCAAGUCGAACGCGAAAGGCCCCUUCGGGGGCCGAGUAGAGUGGCGUCCGGGUGAGUAACACGUGGGUAAUCUACCUUCGGGUGGGGAAUAACGACCGGAAACGGUCGCUAAUAACCGCAUAAUGCAGCGGCACCUAAUGGUGACAGUUGUUAAAGCGGGGGGAUCGCAAGACCUCGCGCCUGAAGAGGAGCCCGCGGCGGAUUAGCUAGUGGCAGGGUAACGGCCUACCAAGGCGACGAUCCGUAG
Molecule: ribosomal RNA, 276 nt
Filed under: uncultured bacterium
Lineage: Bacteria
Description: partial 16S ribosomal RNA
Rfam family: Bacterial small subunit ribosomal RNA
Source: RNAcentral